UACGAAGGGGGCUAGCGUUGUUCGGAAUUACUGGGCGUAAAGUGCGCGCGGGCGGCCUUGCAAGUCAGUGGUGAAAUCCCAGAGCUUAACUCCGGAAUUGCCAUUGAAACUGCGAGGCUUCGAGUACGGGAGAGGUGAGUGGAAUUCCCAGUGUAGAGGUGAAGUUCGUAGAUAUUGGGAAGAACACCGGUGGCGAAGGCGCCUCACUGGCCCGUUACUGACGCUCCGGCGCGACAGCGUGGGGAUCAAACAGG
RNAcentral lists this ribosomal RNA (254 nucleotides) under uncultured bacterium. Its description in RNAcentral is "partial 16S ribosomal RNA". It matches the Rfam family "Bacterial small subunit ribosomal RNA", at positions 524 to 776 of the family's 1533-position model. The record is from RNAcentral.